Molecule: long non-coding RNA, 4301 nt
Filed under: Sus scrofa (pig)
Lineage: Eukaryota; Metazoa; Chordata; Mammalia; Artiodactyla; Suidae
Description: lncRNA (ENSSSCG00030046666.1)
Source: RNAcentral
GUCUGAGCAUAUGAUAGUGAAACAAUAAGCAAAAAAUAGCCCACACAGAGUUUAUAUUCAACUCUGGGUCUGGUAUGAAGUGAUAGACAAAUUAAGUUAAAUGUAUAAUAGAUCUUAUGGUAGCAGGCAAUUCAAAGAAAAGCAGAGCAGAUGAAUAAAGUGUGGUGAAUAGGGUGCUAUUUAAAAUGUUGAAAUCAAAUGAGACCUUUAAUAGUGAGGUGACAUUUGAGCAGAUACUUGAAGAAGGUAAGGUGUUGAGCCAUGUUGAUGUCUAGAGUAAGUGUCAUAAGAGUUUUCUAGGGAAAGGAAAGAGGAAAAAAAAAGGUCCUGAAGGGUCUGAGUGAGUAUACUUGGAAUGUUUGAGAGAACAUCAAAAAGACCAUGUGGUUGGAUGAGAGUGUGAUCUGACUUGUUUUUUAUUACUAUUGUUGUUGCUUUUUGUUUUGUUUUUUUAGUUUCAGUAAUGUUAUUUGUUUAAUUCUAUUGGAAUAUAGUUGACAAAACUGUGUUAGUUUCGUGUUUACAUCAAAGUGAAUUAUAUAAAACAUAUGCAUAUGCAUAAACAUAUAUGUCUCCAUUAUUUUUUCAGGUUAUUUGUCCCUAUAAGUUAUUACAGAAUAUUGAGUAUAUUUCCCUAUGCUAUACAGUAGGUCCUUUUACUUAUCAGUGAUUUGACUUGUUUUGACAGAAUUGCUAUGGAUACUAUAUUGUGAACAAACUCUAUGAUGGCAGAGAUAGAAGAAUACCUAUAAAAAGGCUAAUCCAAAGAGGAGGUCAUAUGGCUUGAACAAGGGUGGUGGUGGUAGGGGUGGUGGAAGUGAUGAGAUGUAGUGGAUUUAUUACAGUUAAAAUGUGAGCCAUUGAAAUUAAAGAGAAAAUUAAUAGUAGAUCAUUAUGGAUAGGUUAUAGCAUAAAAGAAUGAGAGAACUCAAGUGCAACUGUGAAUUUUCAUCUUAACAACUUGAAAAUUUGUGUUGCCUUUGAGUAAAAUGGAGAAGAUGACAGAUGGAUCUGGUUUGAAGGAGAUGAUAAGGAAUUUGGUUUCAGACAUUAUGUUUGAGAUCUCUUUGGACAUCCAAAUUGAAAUGAGGAGUGAAAUAUGAGUAUUGAGUUCACAGGAGAGUUUCAGAGCAGAAAUAUAUCCUCAGUAAUCUUUAGGUUAUACAUGAGACUUAAAGUCAUAGGAUAGGAUGAUAUUAUAAGGGGAGGCGGAUAUUGGAAAUUAAGAUAACUCUGCCUCGGGUGGUCAAUGUCGGAAAGUGAGACACAUGGACAAGGAGAAAUCUCAACAAGGCUCUUUACUUCUGCAGAAGGGCACGGGCACUCCAAAAAGUGCAUGCUCCAAACAAGGGACACACCCCUAUUUAUCCCUAAGGCAGGUGAUUUACCUGCCCCCUUCCCAUUGGUCAGGUCAAGGCUCACAUUCUUCCCAGUUGGCUAAUUGAAACAAAUUGUUGCUGGGAAAAGAGUCAAAGAGGAAGGGCGUCGCAGGGGGUGUUUCAGCUGAAACCAGAGCAAAAUGGAGUAACCAAGAUUUCCUUUGAUAGAAAAGGCAUUAUCUUACUUUCCACAGGGGUAAGUAUAGUUAGAGAAAAGAGUAAAUCUAAACAAUGAACCCUUUGCUCCCCAGUGUCUAAAAAGCAGAGACAGCAAAGAAAGACUAAGGAUUUAGGCAAAAAGAAAUUCUGGAGAGUGUUGAGACCCGGUGGUACAAUGAAGAUACUUCUUUUCAAUGAAGGCAGAAUAAUGAACUGUGUUAAAUGCUACUAAUAGUUCAAGUAAGAUGAAUGUGAACAAUUGACCAUUGUAGUAUAGUUUCAGCAGUAAUGAUGGAUGUAAGAGAUUGACUGGAAUGAUUUUGAGUGUAGAUAAGGUGAGAAAUAUAUAGGGAGAGCUCUUGAAAAAAAUAUUAUAGGUAAGUUGUAAUAAAUAAAUUCUAUGAGAUUCUCAUAGGAAUAAAGUUAUAAGAGACUACAUGUCAAUGAGUAUAAUACAAUAGAAAGAGGGCAUGUUAUGAUGCUGAGGGAAAGGAACAAUUGCUGGAGUAUAUCUUUGAAUAGGUGAAAGUGGUGUUAAUUAUAACAUCUGGAAUGAUGUCAUAUAAAAUAAUAAAAGGCCAGCAGGUCCCCAUCACUUGACAUUUUUUUGUUCACUGUCAAUUUAACAGAGCAGAUAUUUUGCUUCAUCUGUAUCUUCCCAAUUUGAGUAAAUUCAGCUUUUGCACUUCUUAAUAAAAGAUUAAUUUGUAUUUUUUUCCAAAAAAUAAAGCAAAAUGCCUUAUUUAACUUUGACUCAGUCUAUUUACAAUGUGUGAAAAGGGUAGUUGUAUGAUUCAUUUGUAUAAAAGAGACAUCUGUUUUCUUGAUUAAUAAUGUCAUAGCUUGUGUUAAUCACAUUGACCUGGGUAAUCAAAAUUUAUACUUAGCUUGUAUGCUUGACAAGAUGCUAACAUUAUCAACAAUUUACAAAUUCACUAGUAAUAUGUUUUAAAAAGUAGUUAAGUCUUUAAAAAAAUUAAAACAAAAUCAAGUCAAAGGAUAAUUCAUUUCAAUAUAUUCUCUUUUUUGUUUUGUUUUUUUUGUUUGUUUGUUUGUUUUUUGUUUUUUUGCCUUUUCUAGGGCCGUUCCCAUGGCAUAUGGAGGUUUCCAGGCUAGGGGUUGAAUCUGAGCUGUAGACACCAGCCUACACCAGAGCCACAGCAAGGCGGGAUCUGAGCUGCGUCUGCAACCUACACCACAGCUCAUGGCAACGCUGGAUCCUUAACCCACUGAGCAAGGCCAGGGAUCGAACCUGCAACCUCAUGGUUCCUAGUCGGAUUCAUUAACCACUGCACCACGAUGGGAACUCCUCAAAAUAUUGUUUAACUCUUUUCUGUAAAAGUCAAAAAAUAUUCCAUAGAAUGCAGUGCUCUCAAAGUGAAACUCCUCCUUUACCUUAUUUCAUUACAUUGAGAUGUGUCUUAAUAGAUUCAUGAUAGAUAGAUAGAUAGAUAGAUAGAUAGAUAGAUAGAUAGAUAGAUAAUGUAAUAGCUGCAUUGUCUUUCUGGUUCUCGUCUGUGCACAGCAAAGAAUUCAAGUGGCGGUCAUGUGGGAAAGGUUAGGAAGUGUAAGCAUGUUAAUUGAAGGGAAAGAUUGCUCUCAGAGAGAGAGCUGGCUACCCUGGGAUUAGGGACUGGCCCUGCCUUACAAUUUGGUUUUCCUUUAUAAAUCCCCAUGCUGCAGACCAAAGUGAAGACCUGAUUUCUCAACUCCCCCAAACCCCUCCCCACCCCGCCACAAGCCUAUGCAUGCAUAAGGGCAGAGUGUUGAUUGGCCUCAAGUGUAUGCCUCAUCUUCAUGGGGCAUGUUCAGUCUCCCAGUUGUUCUCAGGUAGGAUACCUCAUCUGCAUGAGGGGUGGGUCACAGGGAAGUCUCCCAGAAGGUCCCUUGACUUUGUGCCUGCCUGUGUUCUUAGUGUUUAACUGUAGGCAUCCUGUUUUCAGUGAUGAUUAAAUGGCCUGUUCAGACCCACUGGGUCCAAUUCCCUCUCCUAUCCUACUAGAUAGAUAGAGAGAUAGAUCAUUACAUUCCCACACACACACACACACACACAUCUUUUUUCUCAACUCCAUCUCUCUGUUUCACCUGUUCUUUUUUGCACAUGUUUUUCUGGCAAUGGAAACUUUAAUAUAUUGCUCACUUUUAUUCUCCUAUUUUUUGUUGUUGAUACAUUUUUUCUCAUUAUUACAGGUAUAUUGUGUGAGUAUUUUCCUUCAACUAGGAAAUAUACCAUGUAUGCAGUCUAUAUUUCACAUAAAGACACUGCACAUAACAUUGCAGAGACAAAGUAAUGAGUCUCAAGUUACUAUUUAGACAAAAGAAUAUAGAGAACUGAGCAUAAAAUUAUGAAUCUUAAAAAUGAAAAUCAUAAUUUCUCUGCCAUGUGGAGCAUUGAAGGUAAUGUAAACAUGGCCUUCUAUUCUAUGAAGUUGUGCAUCUCCACUGACACUGUUUUCUUGGUACCAUUACCUUCGAGUAAUGGAAAGAGUCUAUACUUUGCAGUCAACAUGGCUUUGGGCAACGUACUUGACUUAUCUGAACUCCAAUUUCUCUUUCAUAAAAUGAGGGUAAAACCACCUUUCUCAGAGGUUUUCAUAGUAAUUACAGAGGCUAAUCUGUAUGAAAUACUUUGCACAGAGAAAACAGAUAACAUAAGGUCAUCAGGUAAUGCAUUCACUCCAAUACAAGUUAUUUUCAAUCUUAAAAAUUGUUCAGUCGUUUCGUAAAUAUUCAGCACUUAAUUGUGUGCAAAUACAAUUCUGA